CCUACGGGAGGCAGCAGUGAGGAAUAUUGGUCAAUGGACGCAAGUCUGAACCAGCCAUGCCGCGUGCAGGAUGACGGCUCUAUGAGUUGUAAACUGCUUUUGUACGAGGGUAAACCUGGAUACGUGUAUCGGGCUGAAAGUACCGUACGAAUAAGGAUCGGCUAACUCCGUGCCAGCAGCCGCGGUAAUACGGAGGAUCCGAGCGUUAUCCGGAUUUAUUGGGUUUAAAGGGUGCGUAGGCGGUUUGAUAAGUUAGAGGUGAAAUGUCGGGGCUCAACCCCGGAACUGCCUCUAAUACUGUUGGACUAGAGAAUAGUUGCGGUAGGCGGAAUGUAUGGUGUAGCGGUGAAAUGCUUAGAGAUCAUACAGAACACCGAUUGCGAAGGCAGCUUACCAAUCUAUAUCUGACGUUGAGGCACGAAAGCGUGGGGAGCAAACAGGAUUAGAUACCCGAGUAGUC
Molecule: ribosomal RNA, 460 nt
Filed under: uncultured bacterium
Lineage: Bacteria
Description: partial 16S ribosomal RNA
Rfam family: Bacterial small subunit ribosomal RNA
Source: RNAcentral